AUGACGAACGCUGGCGGCGUGCUUAACACAUGCAAGUCGAACGGAAAGGCCCUGCUUUUGUGGGGUGCUCGAGUGGCGAACGGGUGAGUAACACGUGAGUAACCUGCCCUUGACUUUGGGAUAACUUCAGGAAACUGGGGCUAAUACCGGAUAGGAGCUCCUGCUGCAUGGUGGGGGUUGGAAAGUUUCGGCGGUUGGGGAUGGACUCGCGGCUUAUCAGCUUGUUGGUGGGGUAGUGGCUUACCAAGGCUUUGACGGGUAGCCGGCCUGAGAGGGUGACCGGCCACAUUGGGACUGAGAUACGGCCCAGACUCCUACGGGAGGCAGCAGUGGGGAAUAUUGCACAAUGGGCGGAAGCCUGAUGCAGCAACGCCGCGUGCGGGAUGACGGCCUUCGGGUUGUAAACCGCUUUCGCCUGUGACGAAGCGUGAGUGACGGUAAUGGGUAAAGAAGCACCGGCUAACUACGUGCCAGCAGCCGCGGUGAUACGUAGGGUGCGAGCGUUGUCCGGAUUUAUUGGGCGUAAAGGGCUCGUAGGUGGUUGAUCGCGUCGGAAGUGUAAUCUUGGGACUUAACCCUGAGCGUGCUUUCGAUACGGGUUGACUUGAGGAAGGUAGGGGAGAAUGGAAUUCCUGGUGGAGCGGUGGAAUGCGCAGAUAUCAGGAGGAACACCAGUGGCGAAGGCGGUUCUCUGGGCCUUUCCUGACGCUGAGGAGCGAAAGCGUGGGGAGCGAACAGGCUUAGAUACCCCUGGUAGUCCACGCUGUAAACGGUGGGUACUAGGUGUG
RNAcentral lists this ribosomal RNA (788 nucleotides) under uncultured organism. RNAcentral describes it as "SSU rRNA". It matches the Rfam family "Bacterial small subunit ribosomal RNA", at positions 26 to 824 of the family's 1533-position model. The record is from RNAcentral.